GACGAACGCUGGCGGCGUGCUUAACACAUGCAAGUCGAACGGGAGUAUUGAAGAAGCUUGCUUUGGAGAUACUUAGUGGCGGACGGGUGAGUAACGCGUGAGGAGCUGUCCUAUGCAGGGGGACAACAGCUGGGAAACGGCUGCUAAUACCCCAUAAAGCCGAGAGGUAAAAGGAUCAAUCCGGCAGAGGAGGUACUCGCGUCCUAUCAGCUAGUAGGUGAGGUAACGGCUCACCUAGGCGAAGACGGGUAGCCGGCCUGAGAGGGCGAACGGCCACACUGGAACUGAGAUACGGUCCAGACUCCUACGGGAGGCAGCAGUGGGGAAUAUUGGGCAAUGGGGGAAACCCUGACCCAGCGACGCCGCGUGGGUGAAGAAAUCCUUCGGGAUGUAAAAGCCCUGUUGUAUGGGAAGAGCGGAAGACGGUACCAUACGAGGAAGCCCCGGCAAACUACGUG
This 458-nucleotide ribosomal RNA is filed under the name uncultured bacterium. RNAcentral's name for it is "bacterial SSU rRNA". It matches the Rfam family "Bacterial small subunit ribosomal RNA", at positions 28 to 507 of the family's 1533-position model. The record is from RNAcentral.